RNAcentral lists this ribosomal RNA (397 nucleotides) under uncultured bacterium. RNAcentral's name for it is "partial 16S ribosomal RNA". It matches the Rfam family "Bacterial small subunit ribosomal RNA", at positions 523 to 918 of the family's 1533-position model. The record is from RNAcentral.
AUACGGAGGGUGCGAGCGUUGUUCGGAAUUAUUGGGCGUAAAGCGAGCGCAGGCGGUUCUUUAAGUCUGAUGUGAAAGCCCCCGGCUCAACCGGGGAGGGGCAUUGGAAACUGGAGAACUUGAGUGCAGAAGAGGAGAGUGGAAUUCCAUGUGUAGGGGUGAAAUGGGUAGAUAUAUGGAGGAACACCAGUGGCGAAGGCGGCUCUCUGGUCUGUAACGGACGCUGAGGCUCGAAAGCGUGGGGAGCAAACAGGAUUAGAUACCCUGGUAGUCCACGCCGUAAACGAUGAGUGCUAAGUGUUGGAGGGUUUCCGCCCUUCAGUGCUGCAGCUAACGCAUUAAGCACUCCGCCUGGGGAGUACGGCCGCAAGGCUGAAACUCAAAUGAAUUGACGGGG